RNAcentral lists this ribosomal RNA (492 nucleotides) under uncultured bacterium. RNAcentral's name for it is "partial 16S ribosomal RNA". It matches the Rfam family "Bacterial small subunit ribosomal RNA", at positions 29 to 507 of the family's 1533-position model. The record is from RNAcentral.
AGUGAACGCUGGCGGUAGGCCUAACACAUGCAAGUCGAACGGCAGCACAGUAAGAGCUUGCUCUUACGGGUGGCGAGUGGCGGACGGGUGAGGAAUACAUCGGAAUCUACUUUUUCGUGGGGGAUAACGUAGGGAAACUUACGCUAAUACCGCAUACGACCUACGGGUGAAAGCAGGGGAUCUUCGGACCUUGCGCGAUUGAAUGAGCCGAUGUCGGAUUAGCUAGUUGGCGGGGUAAAGGUCCACCAAGGCGACGAUCCGUAGCUGGUCUGAGAGGUUGAUCAGCCACACUGGAACUGGGCCACGGUCCAGACUCCUACGGGAGGCAGCAGUGGGGAAUAUUGGACAAUGGGCGCAAGCCUGAUCCAGCCAUACCGCGUGGGUGAAGAAGGCCUUCGGGUUGUAAAGCCCUUUUGUUGGGAAAGAAAAGCAGCAGGUUAAUACCCCGCUGUUCUGACGGUACCCAAAGAAUAAGCACCGGCUAACUUCGUG